UUUUACAGAGUUUACCUUAUUGACUAUGGCUGCUUUUGUACUACAAUGGAAGAGUUGAGUAGGCACAGGAGUCCAAAGGGUUUGCAAAUUCCAAAAAUGUUUACCAUCUGAGGCUUUAUAGAACCUAUUCUGAUCUCUGCUCUACAGUAAGCAGGUCUCCUGCAGUUUGGUGGAGGUCCACUCCAGACCCUGUUUGCCUGGGUAUCACCAGCAGAGGCUGUGGAACAGCAAAGAUUGCUGCCUGCUCCUUCCUAUGGAAGCCUUGCCCCAGAGGGGCACUGGCCUGAUGCCAGCUGGAGCUCUCCUGUAUGAGGAAUAAACUUGCCAUGUCUUCUAGGAAAGAAGUGAUGCUGAGUCUGAAUACACAGUAAAAGCCAAGCAACACUACUGGUCUUGCAAUCUCAAAAGGAAGAGUGAGACUUUUUACAUAAUUUAAUUAUUGAAGAUUUCAUUGGCAAAAUUAAAAACAAAAAUUCUG
This 478-nucleotide long non-coding RNA is filed under the name Homo sapiens (human). Its description in RNAcentral is "HSALNT0073272". The record is from RNAcentral. Lineage: Eukaryota; Metazoa; Chordata; Mammalia; Primates; Hominidae.